This is a long non-coding RNA of Arachis duranensis, 1751 nucleotides long. RefSeq lists it as uncharacterized. Lineage: Eukaryota; Viridiplantae; Streptophyta; Magnoliopsida; Fabales; Fabaceae. The record is from RefSeq and is a predicted model, not a curated record. The transcript is spliced from 9 exons.
UUUAUUAGGCAAGUCAUGAAAUUUUUAAAAUCAAGGGCAAAGUGGGUGAAGAAAGUUGAAUUUGAUUUGAUUUUUCUUGCAACACUCACAAAAGGCAAUCAUGGAGGUAGAGGAUGAUGACUGGGACUUGACGGCAGAAGAACUCGAUUCUCUUGAACGCGAUGCUUUCCAGAAAAUUGCUCAACUUCGCGACUCUUCUACCCCUCCUUCUCAACAAUUCAAUCUGCAACAACACCAUUUUCUAAAACCACCUUCUGCCAACCAUUCCCAACCCUUCCCACCAAACCCCAUUUCCGAUUCCCAUCCUCAAAGGGUGGACGCUUUGCCUCAAGGAGCUAGAGCAUUACCCCCCCUCAUUGAAACCAGGGACAAAAAAGGAUGAGCCUUCUAAAGAACUGCCGAAGUUUUUUGUCAAACUUUUUCUUCAUUCCAGUGGGCAUGUUGCAGCGAAAUUCCAAUAUGACCAGGUAAAUAAUUUCUGCUUUUCGGAGAAUCCCUAGAGUUUCUUGGAAUGCAAAAGAAAGAUAUCCCUCCCCUUUCUCUUCCAGCAAUAAGUGCCUGUGUUCAUCCUAGCAUGGUUGUCUGGAUUGGCUGUUGAGGGCUUAGUUAUUUGAAAAUUUUUGAGUCUUCAGGUUAUGGAUGUUCCCACUUUCUUCCUUGUCAGAAGCAGAGAAGGUUCUAGGAGAAAUAUCUAAUUAUAAAGUUCAGUUGGAGGUGCUAAAAGGCAAAAUUAAGUCUUCCAAAUCAAAAGAUGAGUCUGAAUCUCUUAAAUAUACUCAAAAUAAUCUGAUUAACAAGGUUUGCAUGGAAGAAGCCCUGAACAUAAUCUUGACUUGUACAAUUUGUUUGGAAGUUUUUCUUAUUACCUAGAACUAUGAUAGGUCUAUAGUUUUUACUGCAACAUUUUCUCAGGCCUUGGCCAAUAUUGGAGUAGUUUAAAUCAUUUUGACUGGUAUAUGAUCAAAACUGAAUCAUGAUAUAUUCGAUUCCAGAUAUAUACUAAUUCUGCAGAUGCCAAGAUUCCCGUUGUUCUUGAAUAUCUCGGAACUGUCAUUGAGGCAGGUUGCAAGUUUCUUAUAUUUGCGCACGAUCAGCCAAUGAUAAAUGCAAUACAUGAGUGCCUUCUUAAGAAAAAAGGUGGGUUGCUUCUGGAUUGAUGGAGGUACACCCGGUGUGCAUCAAGGCAACAAUUGGUUACAGAUUUCCAGGAAAAGGAUCAUAUAUAUCAAGGCGGCUGUGCUAUCCGUUAAAGCUGGGGAGUUGGAUUAACUUUAACUGCUGCAAGCACAGUUAUCUUUGUUUUGUAGAACAAUCCUGGACUCCAGGUGACCUAAUUCAGGUCGAAAAUCGUGCUCAUAGAAUUGACCAGGUCUCGUCAGUAAAUAUAUACUAAUUGUUGGCAAAUGAUACGGGUGGAGAUAAGUUUACAUGCAGAAGUUUCCCUAUAGUAUUAACUACAUGUGCUUACAUGGGGAAUUACACCUUUGAUGACACAAAUGCCUUUCAAAGCUGAAAUCCAUUGUACAAUAAAUAAUAGAUUUCACUACACUAAACUAUGUUGCUUGUGCUGGAGAUAAUGGUUUGGUUAUGUGAAAUAUGUAUUGGAAGAAAAUGUUGAUAAAGUCACCCAUUAGAUUUUAGCUUUCCACUUCUUGUUCUUAACUUUUUGCUCCCCUAUGUUUUGUUUUAGUUUGGGGCUCUGUACAGAGUACUACAUUAUCAUAUAUGAAUGAGACUUGUAAAUUUCUUUA